This 862-nucleotide unclassified non-coding RNA is filed under the name Saccharomyces cerevisiae (brewer's yeast). RNAcentral describes it as "sequence contains ITS1, 5.8S rRNA gene, ITS2". The stretch from base 429 to 582 matches the Rfam family "5.8S ribosomal RNA". Lineage: Eukaryota; Fungi; Ascomycota; Saccharomycetes; Saccharomycetales; Saccharomycetaceae. The record is from RNAcentral.
AAUUUUAAAUUNCUUAAAUAAUCCCNNNCUUCCCGUAGGGGUGNACUGCGGAAGGAUCAUUAAAGAAAUUUAAUAAUUUUGAAAAUGGAUUUUUUUUUUGUUUUGGCAAGAGCAUGAGAGCUUUUACUGGGCAAGAAGACAAGAGAUGGAGAGUCCAGCCGGGCCUGCGCUUAAGUGCGCGGUCUUGCUAGGCUUGUAAGUUUCUUUCUUGCUAUUCCAAACGGUGAGAGAUUUCUGUGCUUUUGUUAUAGGACAAUUAAAACCGUUUCAAUACAACACACUGUGGAGUUUUUCAUAUCUUUGCAACUUUUUCUUUGGGCAUUCGAGCAAUCGGGGCCCAGAGGUAACAAACACAAACAAUUUUAUCUAUUCAUUAAAUUUUUGUCAAAAACAAGAAUUUUCGUAACUGGAAAUUUUAAAAUAUUAAAAACUUUCAACAACGGAUCUCUUGGUUCUCGCAUCGAUGAAAAACGCAGCGAAAUGCGAUACGUAAUGUGAAUUGCAAAAUUCCGUGAAUCAUCGAAUCUUUGAACGCACAUUGCGCCCCUUGGUAUUCCAGGGGGCAUGCCUGUUUGAGCGUCAUUUCCUUCUCAAACAUUCUGUUUGGUAGUGAGUGAUACUCUUUGGAGUUAACUUGAAAUUGCUGGCCUUUUUCAUUGGAUGUUUUUUUUUCCAAAAAAAGGUUUCUCUGCGUGCUUGAGGUAUAAUGCAAGUACGGUCGUUUUAGGUUUUACCAACUGCGGCUAAUCUUUUUUAUACUGAGCGUAUUGGAACGUUAUCGAUAAGAAGAGAGCGUCUAGGCGAACAAUGUUCUUAAAGUUUGACCUCAAAUCAGGUAGGAGUACCGCUGANUUAAGCAUAU